UGCCAUGUUGCCGUAGCUUAGCUUGCUACAUUUCCCAGGGCUGUAGCUUUAGUGUAGUUAAGCUUCAUUUAAAGAAGAGUAACUGUUAGCUUAGCUCACUACAUUUUCCAAGUAGCUUGCCCAAUACUGAGUAUUUAUUGUCACAAACAAUAUUACGUAGGCUAAACUAAUAUAUUGUUUGUAACAGCACUUUUCUAAUGACGAAACAGCCAUCAUUUCUACAUAGAAGUUCCUUGAUGAACCUGUUUAUCUCUUUUUAGGAUGACUUUGAGAACUUCUUUAAUGGAAAGAAUGCAUGCCCUUCAGUUCAACCAGUUAAAUCACCUCCAAUUAGUCUGAAAGUCAGCAACGAGGAUCAUUCUCAUUGGCUGUGUUGCUGCUGUUCAUGCUUGCACAUCAUGCUCAUGGGAACGACGGACGCAUGAAUGGGACGCAAGAGGUAGCUGAUAAACAUGACUGGUAAGGAAAUAUCGAGCUGUUUCCCAGAUGUUAUCAGAAGCAUUUUUCACGUGUUUAAAGUCACGUGGCAUAAAAGUAUGGUGGCCGAGAAGUGCAAAACAAUUCACAAUUCUGAAAACAAAACAACAAAUUACAAAUGCAAAUCUAAAAUAUAGCUGCAAGCAGCGACAGCGGGCCCAAGCCGUCAGUGCAAACGACACCCCAGUGGCAUCAGGAGAACGGUGCACAGCGGGCACAUGGAUUUACAGUAACCCUCUGGCAGGUUGGUUUUUAGAGACACGGCAAUGAAUGGGUUAAUCCAAACCAUCAAUUUAAGUGAUACAGCAAUGAAUGGGUUAAUCCAAACCAUCAAGCCUGUGAAACACACACACACACACACACACACACACAGAACAAUAUAUAAAAGUUUGGAAACACUUUACAAUAAGGUUUAAGUUAUUAACAUUAACUAUAUGAAUUAACAUGAACAAUAAUUAUAUAGUAUUUAUUCAUGUUAGCAGUGGUGGAGGUAACGAAUUACAACUACUCACGUUACUGUAAUUGAGUAGUUUUUUCGGGUACUUGUACUUUUUUGAGUAUAUUUUUAAAGCUGUACUUUUACUUGUACUUAAGUACAAAUUAAGCAAAAUAAUCUACUUCAUUACUUUUAAAAUCAUAGCUCGAGUACACCCACAAUUUGAAUUGAUAUUCAAACCUUUCACGAAACUUCAGUAGCCAAUAAACAUAUCCGAUCGUAAACGGACCAAUAAAAGCCCUGAUAUCUGAACCGGGUCCCGGGAAAAGCCGCCGCUGCAGCAGGUGAAGAUCUGAUCGGACAGUGAGGGAGCACAGCGUGAUUUAUGGACUCAAAGUUUGGAGAAACAAACUACAUGGUAGCGUUAUCAUAAAUAUCUAUAUUUUGAUAUCGAUAUUUAACUAUCUGACACGGUUCCAUUACUCAUUCUCCACAGUAUCUACCGUAUAUACACCGAUACACAUCCUCUCAGACAGCGAGUUUGACACGCAUAAGCCUCCUGUCAGUUACUGAGUCUGAAUGUCCGCGCGGGAUUGCAGAUGGUUCAUGCUGGCUUAACAGAAAAAUCAAAAGAAGAUGAUGUGCUUGAAGAGUAUGAAGCCACCAAUACAUGGGAGUCGUCCAACCUCAGUGCAGAGAGAUCAAUGUGCACUUGGAAUUGUGACUUUGACUUUGUCUUUGUCUCUGACCCAUUUUCUAGGGCAGUUUUGUGAUGCUGUAAAUAGGAGUGGAUAUCUUGCUUGGCUGAAAACUGCAGAGAAACGCAUCUCAUCGUGCUGAAAAAAAGAAUGAGAGUAUUCUCUCCAAGGAAGUCCAAACACCAGCAUAGACUUUGAUUAGUGAGCAUUAACAUGCAUUCAGCUUUUAUGAUAAUGAAUGGAAUGCUGUUGUUUCACCUCCUAAAUGUCAGCAUUAUAAACCUUAUGACAUCAAUGGACCAAAUAAGAAUGUUUUUUGUGUCUUUGCACUGAUUUGCUUCUACAUUAUGAUGUUUAAUUGUUGUAAGAACAUGUUCUUUACAUGCAUUGAAAACAUUGAGUGUGAAGACAUUUUGGUGUAGGGAAAAAAUAUUUACAAUGUUUCA
This is a long non-coding RNA of Onychostoma macrolepis, 2057 nucleotides long. RefSeq lists it as uncharacterized. The transcript has 4 exons. The record is from RefSeq and is a predicted model, not a curated record. NCBI's taxonomy places the organism in Eukaryota, Metazoa, Chordata, Actinopteri, Cypriniformes, Cyprinidae.